UUCCCAUGCCGGGAAUCGAACCCGGGCCGCCUGGGUGAAAGCCAGGUAUCCUAACCACUAGACCACAUGGGA
This 72-nucleotide transfer RNA is filed under the name Araneus ventricosus. RNAcentral's name for it is "tRNA-Glu". The record is from RNAcentral. Lineage: Eukaryota; Metazoa; Arthropoda; Arachnida; Araneae; Araneidae.